Molecule: unclassified non-coding RNA, 245 nt
Filed under: plant metagenome
Description: partial contains small subunit ribosomal RNA, internal transcribed spacer 1, and 5.8S ribosomal RNA
Source: RNAcentral
UCUCCGUUGGUGAACCAGCGGAGGGAUCAUUACCGAGUUUACAACUCCCAAACCAAAUGUGAACGUUACCAAACUGUUGCCUCGGCGGGGUCACGCCCCGGGUGCGUCGCAGCCCCUGAACCAGGCGCCCGCCGGAGGAACCAACCAAACUCUUUCUGUAGUCCCCUCGCGGACGUUAUUUCUUACAGCUCUGAGCAAAAAUUCAAAAUGAAUCAAAACUUUCAACAACGGAUCUCUUGGUUCUG